Molecule: ribosomal RNA, 253 nt
Filed under: uncultured bacterium
Lineage: Bacteria
Description: partial 16S ribosomal RNA
Rfam family: Bacterial small subunit ribosomal RNA
Source: RNAcentral
UAAGUAGGGGGCAAGCGUUGUCCGGAUUUAUUGGGCGUAAAGAGCGUGUAGGCGGCCAGGUAGGUCUGCUGUGAAAACUCGAGGCUUAACCUCGAGAUGUCGGCGGAAACCAUCUGGCUAGAGUCCGGAAGAGGAGAGUGGAAUUCCUGGUGUAGCGGUGAAAUGCGCAGAUAUCAGGAAGAACACCCGUGGCGAAGGCGGCUCUCUGGGACGGUACUGACGCUGAGACGCGAAAGCGUGGGGAGCGAACAGG